GGACUGUCUAGAUUAGCCAUGCAUGUGUAAGUAUAAAUAUUUAACUUUGAAACUGCGAAUGGCUCAUUAUAUCAGUUAUAGUUUAUUUGAUGAAAAGUACUACUUGGAUAACCGUAGUAAUUCUAGAGCUAAUACAUGAUAAAAUCCUCGACUUUGAAGAGGUGUAUUUAUUAGAAUGAAACCAAUAGACUUCGGUCUGUUUGUGAGUAAUAAUAACUAAUCGUAUCGCAUGCUUAGGUAGCGAUAUGUCUUUCAAGUUUCUGCCCUAUCAGCUUUGGAUGGUAGUGUAUUGGACUACCAUGGCAGUAACGGGUAACGAAGAAUUUGGGUUCGAUUUCGGAGAGGGAGCCUGAGAGAUGGCUACCACAUCCAAGGAAGGCAGCAGGCGCGUAAAUUACCCAAUCCUGACAUAGGGAGGUAGUGACAAUAAAUCACAAUGCGGAACUAUUAGUUUUGCAAUUGGAUUGAGAACAAUGUACAAAUGUUAUCGAUAAACAAUUGGAGGGCAAGUCUGGUGCCAGCAGCCGCGGUAAUUCCAGCUCCAAUAGCGUAUAUUAACGUUGUUGCAG
RNAcentral lists this ribosomal RNA (569 nucleotides) under Blastocystis sp. subtype 4. RNAcentral's name for it is "SSU rRNA". It matches the Rfam family "Eukaryotic small subunit ribosomal RNA", at positions 33 to 618 of the family's 1831-position model. Lineage: Eukaryota; Bigyra; Opalinata; Blastocystidae. The record is from RNAcentral.